This 372-nucleotide long non-coding RNA is filed under the name Homo sapiens (human). Its description in RNAcentral is "non-protein coding LINC02363:19". The record is from RNAcentral. Lineage: Eukaryota; Metazoa; Chordata; Mammalia; Primates; Hominidae.
ACUGGUGGGAGCUUGGAAGGAGGGUAGAAGGGAGAAAGAAGCUGAUUUUAUUUCUCCUUCUGUUGAAGUCUCUGGCAGUGGCAGCAGUAGCAGCAGUGGCAGCAGCUGCGGCAAUAGCAGUAGCAGCGGCAGUAGGCCCUGAAAGCAGCAGAUCUCACCUGCAUUGGAGGAUGAGACGCCACAUGAAGAAGAAAGAAGACGCCACAGACAGCAGCGCAGUACCACCUUCCAGAGAUGUGAGUGUGACCGUCUUUGACCUUCUAGCCCAGCUGCUUUCCCUGAAUGCAAUGCAUGAGCAGGCCAGGCAAAACUAGAGAGGGAAGCUGCCCAGCUAACCCACAGAAUUAUGAGAGAUAAAAAAUCAUUGUCUUA